Molecule: ribosomal RNA, 253 nt
Filed under: uncultured bacterium
Lineage: Bacteria
Description: partial 16S ribosomal RNA
Rfam family: Bacterial small subunit ribosomal RNA
Source: RNAcentral
UACGAAGGGGGCUAGCGUUGCUCGGAAUGACUGGGCGUAAAGGGCGCGUAGGCGGAUGGCUUUGUCGGGCGUGAAAUUCCAGGGCUUAACCUUGGGGCUGCGUUCGAGACGGGUUGUCUUGAGUGGGGAAGAGGGUCGUGGAAUUCCCAGUGUAGAGGUGAAAUUCGUAGAUAUUGGGAAGAACACCGGUGGCGAAGGCGGCCUGCUGGGCAGUGGCUGACACUGAGGCGCGGCAGCGUGGGGAGCAAACAGG